Molecule: long non-coding RNA, 2191 nt
Organism: Salvelinus fontinalis (brook trout)
Lineage: Eukaryota; Metazoa; Chordata; Actinopteri; Salmoniformes; Salmonidae
Exons: 2
Source: RefSeq, a predicted model, not a curated record
GGGAAAGCGGGGGUGGCACGGGUCCUGGCUGUGCCUGUGUGUGUGUGACUGGACUGAGUGAACCCCCCGGCCCUGCUCUGCUCCGCCUGCCACAGGCAUGACCCACAUCACACUGGAGUCCCAGUGCACCCUGAGCACUUCUCGUCUAUCCGUCGCCAAGGAGGCAGGCAGGGACGCGGGAACAACAAGUCAUUUGUACCUGUAGAGGAGGACACUCCUGGGAAACAAACAGAUGAGCUUCUCCCCCUGAAUGCAAGCCUUUCUCUCAGGGUAAACAGAACUGCAUGAGAAACAUACAAACUAUCGGGAGGAUCGCACUUAACUCUUUCAGCGCCUGCCGUAGGGCCUGGAGGGGACAGAGAGAGAGAGCGAGGCAGAGGAGCGAUUAGCCACACCUGCUGGGGACUAGGGUGGGAGACAGACUGUACAGGAGGAGGACAACAUCCUGAUGUAGUCGAUGUGUGGGUGUGAUCCAUCUCUCCAUUGCCCAUAUGGGAUAAGAAGGAAGGGGAGGGGAAGAGCUGGCCUGCCUUGUGGUUCUUCAAGAGAAACAACACAAACACACAGCCAACCUCCUGGGACGUAUCCUGGUGGCCAGGGAACAGUUGGCCAGCAGAGGAUCCUGGGCUGGGGUGGGGGUGAGGCUGGGAGAUGUGUGUGGCUGCAGGGCAUAGGCAGUGCCUGGCACCACUCUGUCUGUCUGUCUGUCUGUCUGCUGGCCUUCUGCUCCUCCCCCCAACCUCCCUGUAGCUAGGACCAGGUUUUGGUUCUCACAACUUUAAAGGGUGGGGCCGAUCUCCACCCAGUAAUGCAACCCUUGGUUUGAGCCCUACCACCCUCGGUAUUGUUUGGCCAAUCCCCCAGGUAGCUGACACACUUUCCAGGCAGCAUCCGGAUGCUCCUCCUGCACACCUUACCGUCUCCUAUCUGUCAGCAGACUAAUUUAAUACUUCCCAGAAGACGGAUAGAACUUUUCCUGUCCUUCCAGUCAGUGGUUUGGGGUUUGAUUUCGGGUUGAAUUAAAUAGUGUAAAAUGAGUAACAAGUGCUCCAGGGGGACUGCUAGGCCAGCAGAGAGAAUGGGCAUUGUGGUGCUAAGAUAUCCUCCCAGUGUUGGAGUGGAGGGGUUAUGAGACGCUAAAUGUUGUGGUGCUAAGAUAUCCUCCCAGUGUUGGAGUGGAGGGGUUAUGAGACGCUAAAUGUUGUGGUGCUAAGAUAUCCUCCCAGUGUUGGAGUGGAGGGGUUAUGAAACGUUACACGUUGUGGUGCUAAGAUAUCCUCCCAGUGUUGGAGUGGAGGGGUUAUGAAACGCUACAGGUUCCCUGCCUGAGUAGUAGGUCACUGAGUAAUGUUGCCCAGAAUCAGAUAAUAUCACACCUCUUUGUCUGUUGCUAGUUAACCCCUACAUGACAAACCACUCACUUUAGGGAGUAGUAGGAAAGCACUUUGUUUUUACAUCAUAUAAACAGUGUCAAUAAUAAUAUUAAUUUCCCAUAUCAAUAAACCACUUACCUUUAAUGAUAUUAAAGACAUAUUUAGUGUACUUGUACUGUACUAUACAUUGAGUUACAAAACCAAUGACAAUCAAGCGGCUCAAAUAGGCAGACUACCAUGCCAUAGGUACUGAAACAAUACUAUUAACUCAAUGGUUCCUAUACGAGUCUGUUGCAAAGGGUUACUAGAACAAUUGCCUUUAAUCAUUAAACCAUAACCAUAGUUUCACCAUAUUUGGAUUAGCUUUUUAGUUAAAUUGGAACUACAUUUUAAUAUGCUCUGUGUAACGGUCCUGACCUGUUUUAUGUUGUUUUUGUAUGUGUUUAGGUCAGGGCAUGUGUUUUGGGUGGGCAGUCUAUGUUAUCUGUUUCUAUGUUGGUUGUGGUUGCCUGGUAUGGCUCUUAAUUAGAGGCAGGUGUUUUGCGUUCUCCUCUAAUUAAGAGUCAUAUUUAGGUAGGGUGUUCUCACUGUUUGUUUGUGGGUGAUUGUCUCCUGUGUCGAAUGUAUGUACCAUACGGGACUGUUUGGCUGUUCGUUUAUUUUGAUCUCGUCUGUUUCCUUCUCUGUGAGUUUACGUUUAGUUAUGUAAGUUUAUGUUCAGGUUUCGUCAACGUCGUUUUCUUGUUUUGUAUAUUUGAAAGUGUUUUGUUUCGUGUUGCCAUCGUCGUGUUAAAUAAAAAGAUGGCUUAUUUCCCGAA